Molecule: ribosomal RNA, 360 nt
Filed under: uncultured eukaryote
Lineage: Eukaryota
Description: partial 18S ribosomal RNA
Rfam family: Eukaryotic small subunit ribosomal RNA
Source: RNAcentral
CCCUUCGAUGUUCUGGGCCGCACGCGUGCUACAAUGAUGGAAUCAAAGAGUAAAGUGGGUGUUGGGGUGUGCAAGCAUGUCAGCAUUUGGUUGUGACUUGAUUGAAAGGUCUGGUUAAUCUUUGGAAAUUUCAUCGUACUAUGAAUUGUUGAUUGCAAUUAUUUGACAUGAAAUAGGAAUGCCUAGUAGGUGUAAUUCAUCAGAUUACGCCGAUUACGUCCCUGCCCUUGUACACACCGCCCGUCGCUCCUACCGAUUGGAAUAAACGGUGAAGAAUUUGGAGGUUAAGAGUGGGUCUUGAUCUACUUUUGAUUGAAGUUUUCUAAAUCUCUUGUUCUAGAGGAAGGAGAAGUCGUAACA